RNAcentral lists this long non-coding RNA (348 nucleotides) under Mytilus galloprovincialis (Mediterranean mussel). The record is from RNAcentral. Lineage: Eukaryota; Metazoa; Mollusca; Bivalvia; Mytilida; Mytilidae.
GACAACCCUGUGUCCUGUGGUGAAGAUCGUGUCCGCUCUAUAUAUUGAGAACCGUUAUGAUUUCAAAGUUUAUACUUGACAUUCAUUUUAACCAACACCAGAGGGUGUGUCAUGAUGUAUGUACAACUUCCUAGGUCAAAGGUCUGUCUGUCUGUUGGUCUGUCCAUAGCUAAAAAAUUUGAUCAACUUAUUUACCCCACGUUAUUGACAGCGGGGCCCCAAGAGAUGGCUCCCAUCUCAAUGGUAUCUAGUUAACUUGUAAAAUCAGUUCAGCAGAAUAUGGAAAAUAUAUAAGUGGAAUGUGCAUAUGAUACCCUUGAAAUGCACUGUUCCUGUCAAAUGCCAAAC